Molecule: ribosomal RNA, 253 nt
Filed under: uncultured bacterium
Lineage: Bacteria
Description: partial 16S ribosomal RNA
Rfam family: Bacterial small subunit ribosomal RNA
Source: RNAcentral
UACAGAGGUCUCAAGCGUUGUUCGGAUUCAUUGGGCGUAAAGGGUGCGUAGGUGGCGCUGUAAGUCGGGUGUGAAAUUUCGGAGCUUAACUCCGAAACUGCAUUCGAUACUGCGGUGCUUGAGGACUGGAGAGGAGACUGGAAUUCAUGGUGUAGCAGUGAAAUGCGUAGAGAUCAUGAGGAAGACCAGUGGCGAAGGCGGCAUCCUGGACCAUAACUGACGCUGAGGCGCGAAAGCUAGGGGAGCAAACGGG